This is a small nuclear RNA of Trichosurus vulpecula (common brushtail), 107 nucleotides long. NCBI's taxonomy places the organism in Eukaryota, Metazoa, Chordata, Mammalia, Diprotodontia, Phalangeridae. The record is from RefSeq and is a predicted model, not a curated record.
GUGAUCGCUUCAGCAGCACAUAUACUAUAACUGGACGGAUACAGAGAAGGUUAGCAUGGCCCCUGCACAAGGAUGACACGCAAAUUUGUGAAGUGUUCCAUGGGGGG